RNAcentral lists this small RNA (578 nucleotides) under Pan troglodytes (chimpanzee). RNAcentral's name for it is "processed transcript". Lineage: Eukaryota; Metazoa; Chordata; Mammalia; Primates; Hominidae. The record is from RNAcentral.
GAGCCACAUUUGCAGCCUGCCUAGUGAGGUCCUGAGGCACGUGUUUGCCUUCCUCCCGGUGGAAGACCUCUAUUGGAACCUGAGUUUGGUGUGCCACUUGUGGAGGGAGAUCAUCAGUGACCCGCUGUUCAUUCCUUGGAAGAAGCUGUACCAUCGAUACCUGAUGAAUGAAGAGCAAGCUGUCAGCAAAGUGGACGGCAUCCUUUCUAACUGUGGCAUAGAAAAGGAGUCAGACCUGUGUGUGCUGAACCUCAUACGAUACACAGCCACCACUAAGUGCUCCUCGAGUGUGGAUCCCGAGAGGGUGCUGUGGAGUCUGAGGGACCACCCCCUCCUCCCCGAGGCUGAGGCGUGUGUGCGGCAACACCUCCCCGACCUCUACGCUGCUGCCGGGGUAGGUCUGGAGGCUGCGGGAGAAGGCGGCAUGUUAUUUCACUGGAGGAAAGUGUACUGGUGAUUCAGUUCAAUUGAGGAUGACUUUAUAUUUAUUUUUAAUGUCUGUAUUUAAUCUCUGAAUGCUUUGAAGCAUUCAUGUUGUCAUUGUCCCCAGUGGAGAAAUAAAAGGCCCUAUAAUUGUA